Cinclus cinclus is the source of this 123-nucleotide small nucleolar RNA. RefSeq annotates it as small nucleolar RNA SNORA13. The transcript has a single exon. The record is from RefSeq and is a predicted model, not a curated record. Lineage: Eukaryota; Metazoa; Chordata; Aves; Passeriformes; Cinclidae.
GGCCUUUGUAUUGCCUAUUCAGUCCUGUCCAGAAUGGAUGUGGUGUCAGAAAAGGCAAACAGGAAUUCUUGCUCAAAACUGGUUUUAUGUACCUGCCUCCUCUCUGUUUUUGCAAGGACAAAA